AAUCCAUAGGUUAAUGAGGCGAACCGGGGGAACUGAAACAUCUAAGUACCCCGAGGAAAAGAAAUCAACCGAGAUUCCCCCAGUAGCGGCGAGCGAACGGGGAGGAGCCCAGAGCCUGAAUCAGCAUGUGUGUUAGUGGAAGCGUCUGGAAAGGCGCGCGAUACAGGGUGACAGCCCCGUACACAAAAGCGCAUGUGCUGUGAGCUCGAUGAGUAGGGCGGGACACGUGGUAUCCUGUCUGAAUAUGGGGGGACCAUCCUCCAAGGCUAAAUACUCCUGACUGACCGAUAGUGAACCAGUACCGUGAGGGAAAGGCGAAAAGAACCCCGGCGAGGGGAGUGAAAAAGAACCUGAAACCGUGUACGUACAAGCAGUGGGAGCACAGGUUUAC
RNAcentral lists this ribosomal RNA (391 nucleotides) under Salmonella enterica. RNAcentral describes it as "partial 23S ribosomal RNA". It matches the Rfam family "Bacterial large subunit ribosomal RNA", at positions 161 to 590 of the family's 2925-position model. RNAcentral also lists the same sequence under 4 other names. The record is from RNAcentral. Lineage: Bacteria; Pseudomonadati; Pseudomonadota; Gammaproteobacteria; Enterobacterales; Enterobacteriaceae.